This 308-nucleotide unclassified non-coding RNA is filed under the name Hevea brasiliensis (rubber tree). The record is from RNAcentral. Lineage: Eukaryota; Viridiplantae; Streptophyta; Magnoliopsida; Malpighiales; Euphorbiaceae.
GAGACAACCGAUGGAUGGACGACGUUACAGCUGCAAUGCAUGGUUGGCUUGGUUGACAGCACAGCACAGAUUUUGGAAUUAAAGGAGAUUUACGUAAUUUGUUUGUACAGAAGAAGAGAGUAGUAAUUGAUUGGGGGUGGAAGACGACACAGGUAGCAGCUGCAUGGAGUAAUUAAUAUUCUAGCUAUAUAUGGAUCGAGACGGGGGACGAAUUCGAUUAUUGAGACUGGGAGCAGACGAUAUGAUAUGAUAUGAUCAGUAGUCGGCGGUGGGCAGCUGGUCGUGCGGGCGCUGGCCGAUGAAGAUGA